RNAcentral lists this ribosomal RNA (460 nucleotides) under uncultured bacterium. RNAcentral's name for it is "partial 16S ribosomal RNA". It matches the Rfam family "Bacterial small subunit ribosomal RNA", at positions 338 to 795 of the family's 1533-position model. The record is from RNAcentral.
CCUACGGGGGGCUGCAGUGAGGAAUAUUGGUCAAUGGGCGUAAGCCUGAACCAGCCAAGUCGCGUGAGGGAUGAAGGUUCUAUGGAUCGUAAACCUCUUUUAUACGGGAAUAAAGUGUGGGACGUGUCCUGUUUUGUAUGUACCUUAUGAAUAAGGAUCGGCUAACUCCGUGCCAGCAGCCGCGGUAAUACGGAGGAUCCGAGCGUUAUCCGGAUUUAUUGGGUUUAAAGGGUGCGUAGGCGGCCUUUUAAGUCAGCGGUGAAAGUUCGUGGCUCAACCAGAGAAUUGCCGUUGAAACUGGGGGGCUAGAGAAUGUUUGAGGCAGGCGGAAUGCGUGGUGUAGCGGUGAAAUGCUUAGAGAUCACGCAGAACACCGAUUGCGAAGGCAGCCUGCCAAGCCAUGACUGACGCUGAUGCACGAAAGCGUGGGGAGCAAACAGGAUUAGAUACCCCGGUAGUC